Molecule: ribosomal RNA, 460 nt
Filed under: uncultured bacterium
Lineage: Bacteria
Description: partial 16S ribosomal RNA
Rfam family: Bacterial small subunit ribosomal RNA
Source: RNAcentral
CCUACGGGGGGCAGCAGUGAGGAAUAUUGGACAAUGGACGAGAGUCUGAACCAGCCAAGUAGCGUGAAGGAUGACUGCCCUAAGGGUUGUAAACUUCUUUUCUAUGGGAAUAAAACAGGGUAUGCAUACCCUCUUGUAUGUACCAUAUGAAUAAGGAUCGGCGAACUCCGUGCCAGCAGACGCGGUAAUACGGAGGAUGCGAGCGUUAUCCGGAUUGAUUGGGUUUAAAGGGAGCGUAGGUGGAUUGUUAAGGCAGUUGUGAAAGUUUGCGGCUCAACCGGAAAGUUGCAGUUGAAACUGGCAGUCUUGAGUACAGUAGAGGUGGGCGGAAUUCUUGGUGUAGCGGUGAAAUGCUUAGAUAUCACGAAGAACUCCAGUUGCGAAGGCAGCUCACUGGACUGCAACUGACGCUGAUGCUCGAAAGUGUGGGUAUCAAACAGGAUUAGAUACCCUGGUAGUC